GGGGAAGUUGUCGGAAAAGUCAGGAGUGAAACUUGUCUUACCAGGUCCUCGAAGCUCCGGCGGUGCUCCUUGCCCUGCCAGUCCAGGCGUCGCGGGAUCAGCUGCGGAAGGGACACGGGGACGGGGGCGGCCGUCAGAGCCCGAGCGACCCCUCCCGGGGAACCCCCCCCGUACCCGCCCGCGCCCCCCGGGAUGGAGCCCCCCUGGUCGCUGCCCCCGGCCCCGCCGCGGGUCAGCCGCGCUCCUGCCCGGUGUCCCGGGCGGAGAUGGGCUGGGUUAGACGGGGCAGGGCAAACGCCGACCCCGCCGUCCCGAGGGCUUCCCCCGUCCCGCCGGGGCAGGCGCCUCACCUGGUGCUCCUCCAGCUCCUCCACCAGUACCUGGGGACAGAGGGACACACAGACAUACACAAAGGACGUGAGUCCGGCGCCCGCAGCGCAGCGGCUCCGCCGCCCUGUCCCGUCCAGUCCCGUCCCGUCCCGUCGCCGCCCGCCCGGCCCGGCCGGAGCGCCGGCUCCGCGCUCACCUGGGCGGAUUUCUUGCAGGGUCCGGACUGCAGGAACCGUGCGAUCAGAAAUGCCAAAUCCAGCUGUGGCUGAAACACCCAGGAAAAUGGGGUGUCCCUGUGUGCUCUGGGCUCUGUCAGCAGAAGGACCAAGGGAAUGAUGUCAGUGUCAGGUCCAUCCUCAGCAUCUCUGAAUUCCAACUUUGUACCUCAAAGUGCCUGGAAUCCCCCGAGUUUUAUAGCAGCAAAAUCACUACUGGGUGUAAGUGACCAGGAAACUAGAGAAAGUGGAUUAAAAGGAAUGAAGUUAUGGAGCAUGAAAAGAUACUCCAAAACCACUGUGGAGGAGGGAAGAGAAGGUUCUGCUCUGGCCCUGGCACAGCAUCCAGACACUGCCUCUCUCCUUCCCAUCGGUAUUUCCUUGCAAUCCCACAUUCUCUGCAGCCUGUGAUCAUUGGGAGAGCAGGGAAUAGCUGCUGUGGUUCCCUGCUCUCUGGCAGCGCGGGAGGGAUGAGUCGAGACUGAAAUAAUUUUCUACCAUUGAUGUGAGGAUGACUCCAACACCGGCUCCGGCUCCAUCCACAUCACUCCUGCUCCCCAUCUGUGCAAGGAAAAGUAAUCACUUGCCUUACCUCCGGGUUUAAUUAGUCCCUGCUCCGGGGCUAAUUAGGAGCGCGGUCCGUGCGGACGUCGGGGCCGGAGCCCUCCCUCCCGCUCCCGUUCCCGCUCCCGUUCCCGCUCCCACUCCCGCUCCCACUCCCACUCCCACUCCCACUCCCGCUCCUGCUCCUGCUCCCGUUCCGUGCCAUCUGCCAUUGCUAGACACUGGCUUUACUUUUCACGCCUGGCUGGGCGCGCUGGAUGCGCGGGGUAAUGGGGCUAUUUUUCCCCCUUAGUCUUUGGAAAGGAAAUAAUAAUAAUAAACCCAGGAAUGGCUGGAACUGCUGCACGCUACCCUUUUCCUUCCCACUUCUGAAGCUUUUUAGCAUUCAGUUUUCCAGCAAUUGGGAGGAAAAUUGCCCUGAAAGAAAGAAACAAAAAUCUGUGUUAUUUUUUAAACACCCCCCGUGCCACACAGGCAGCUGCAGAGAAUUUCUCUUCCAAAGGGAUGAUGUAAUGGGCUUUGUCAGCCAAUGCUGGAAUGAAUAAAACCGGAGACCCGAAAUCCAUCCAGGCUUUUGAUGAAACUCCUGAGGUUCCUGAAGCAAGUGGUCGCCAAAAUGGGCUGGAACCGCUGGUUUUGUCAUGCAGAUCUUGAGAGAAGUGAGAUGGAGAGUCAAGGGCUCCAACCAGGGAGUAACCAAAACCACCAAGUUUUGUCCCUUCUGACAGAAGGGGAUCUUGUGCAGAGCAUCUGGGGACACUCAGAGAGGGGGUGCACAGCCCUUGGUGCCGGGAUGUCAACCCAGACUUCAGCAUCCACCACAGAGUCACUCCUGAUCUGAACAUGGGACCUACAGCCACAUUUUAGAGAGAGAUAUGUGUGUAUAUUUAAUAUUAUGUA
Long non-coding RNA from Corvus hawaiiensis (hawaiian crow), 2009 nucleotides. RefSeq lists it as uncharacterized. NCBI's taxonomy places the organism in Eukaryota, Metazoa, Chordata, Aves, Passeriformes, Corvidae. The record is from RefSeq and is a predicted model, not a curated record. The transcript has 4 exons.